This 365-nucleotide unclassified non-coding RNA is filed under the name uncultured bacterium. RNAcentral describes it as "contains 16S-23S intergenic spacer region". The record is from RNAcentral.
UCCCCGUUACCGAGGCAGUCUCACUAGAAAUUACAACUAGUAAUAAGGGUUGCGCUCGUUGAGGGACUUAACCCGACAUCUCACGACACGAGCUGACGACGGCCAUGCAUCACCUGUCACCGGUCCAGCCGAACUGACCGUCUAGUUUCCUAGACAUACGACCGGGAUGUCAAGCCUUGGUAAGGUUCUUCGCGUAGCCUCGAAUUAAACCACACGCUCCACCGCUUGUGCGGGUCCCCGUCAAUUCCUUUGAGUUUUAGCCUUGCGGCCGUACUCCCCAGGCGGGAUGCUUAACGCGUUAGCUUUGCUACCGAGGGGGUCGAUACCCCCGACAGCUAGCAUCCAUCGUUUACGGCGUGGACUAC